Molecule: long non-coding RNA, 1371 nt
Organism: Limulus polyphemus (Atlantic horseshoe crab)
Lineage: Eukaryota; Metazoa; Arthropoda; Merostomata; Xiphosura; Limulidae
Exons: 3
Source: RefSeq, a predicted model, not a curated record
GUCGCGUCUACAUCGCUUUCAGUGCUGCUACAAGUACAAUCCACCCGUUUUCCGUUCGAGCAAGACUCUGUAAUGUUGUAAACAGUUCGAAGAGUGUUCGGUGGUUGCUGUCGUCAUUCGAAUCGUGAUUGUGAGAAAGUGUUAAACAGAAAUUUGCUCUGUAAGUCUAACAUAAUAUAUAAUAUCUGCAAGGGGAAAAAAAUAAGGAACAUGUAGAUUUGUUUUCCAGUAUUAAUGAUUAGGUAGCAUUGUUGAUAUACAUCAGCAGAAGGCUAAACGCUAAUGGAAAAACGUUAUACAAGAUAAUUUCUGCUGUCUGAAUUGAACCAGUUUCACCCAAUUUACUGAUCUCUGAACUAAAGUACUUUUUUUUCUGUCACAGUAGUGUAAAGCUCCAUAAGAGACUGCUUGAAGUCUGUGCCGUGUAGCUCUACCUCGAUAUAUUACAUGAGAGUAAACUGUUUUUUGUAUGGUUAGAUGACGUUUAUGUUGGCCACAUUUUUACUCUUUUUAGAAGAAGAAGCUUUUGCAAGGCUAAAAUAAAUGCAGAAAAAGUCACAGUGAAGUGACCUAUAGGUGACAUUGAAAAUCCGAAGGUUAUACCGUAUACGGUACGGUCAGCAAACUAAAUUGAAUAUUCGGAGGAUACACCGUAUUGAUACAAACAGGAGGAUAGAUUAAAUACUAGAAAGAUACAUCAUAGUGGUACAAGCAGCAGGGUAAAACAAAUACUCGGUAGAUGCACCGCGGAGAUACGAUAAGAUGGGUAAACUGAAUACUCGUAAGAUACAUCACAGUUAUAUGAUCAUCAGGGUAAAGUGAAUACUCGUAAGAUACACCACAGUUAUAUGAUCAUCAGGGUAAAGUGAAUACUCAGAAGAUACGUCGUGGUGAUACGAUCAACAGAGUAGGGUAAACUGAGUACUUAGAAGAUACAAUGCGAUGAUACGACCAGCAGGGUAAAGUGAAUACGCGAAGGAUACAUAAUUGCUAAGUUACCAGCAGAAGGAUAAAUUGUAUCUGAAUAUCUGAAAACGUUUUCCCCUUGACAACAACUCUGAGUAAUCAGGGGUCUCCUUUUUGCAUUUUCCUUUUGGGAGAAGAUUUGUAAAGUUGGCGCCAUCAUGUUGGAGCAAGAAACUACAGUUAAGUGGCAAGAACGAUGUCAUGAACUGGAAUACUCAUUACAACGAUUUCGUGAACAAGCAACAAGGAUACGGAGACUGCUUAAAGAAAAGCUUGAAGAGCUUGAACACCGAGUGGAAGAUGCAGAGAGAAGAGCCACACUUUCUGAGGAAAGGGUACGUGCAGAAUUGUUUGAUCAGAAAGUUGUAUAAUUUAUCAUUUUUUCUACUUUUAUGGGCACAAUAG